GUGGGAAUAGCUCAGUUGGUAGAGCAUAACCUUGCCAAGGUUGGGGUCGCGAGUUCGAGUCUCGUUUCCCGCUCCA
This 76-nucleotide transfer RNA is filed under the name Acinetobacter baumannii. RNAcentral describes it as "tRNA-Gly". It matches the Rfam family "tRNA". From Rfam's summary of the family: Transfer RNA (tRNA) molecules are approximately 80 nucleotides in length. Their secondary structure includes four short double-helical elements and three loops (D, anti-codon, and T loops). RNAcentral also lists the same sequence under 3 other names. The record is from RNAcentral. Lineage: Bacteria; Pseudomonadati; Pseudomonadota; Gammaproteobacteria; Moraxellales; Moraxellaceae.